Molecule: long non-coding RNA, 432 nt
Filed under: Salvia miltiorrhiza (redroot sage)
Lineage: Eukaryota; Viridiplantae; Streptophyta; Magnoliopsida; Lamiales; Lamiaceae
Description: long non-coding RNA (SMIL_LNC000058)
Source: RNAcentral
UCAGCCCUUCUUCUCAAAGCUAAGUCUUUUUCUCACUCAAUUCUAAUUUAAUCGAUACUUAAUCGGACUAGGCAAAGUGCCAAUAUUCUUGUUUUGCAUAAACUCAAAUUAUGCUCGCUUAAAACUUCAUAUGAACUGUCACUUGUUCAUGAAAGCAUAGUUGGGGUGUUUACUCAGUUCAAGAUGCUUAUACGUCGUAUCUCCUUGUGAAACUACUCAUGAUCAUGCUUUGAUAUGAAUGCUCACUGGUAUGAAUAUUUACUGGAAUGGAAUAAUGACAUAGCAUUAAUACCUUGAAGGUUUGUGGGUUGUUGAAUGAACUGAGAAAAUCUUGAAGUUGCUUCGUUUGAUUGAUGAACUGUUUGCUGAACUUGAGUAGUUUUAACUAGGGUGAUAACUUCUGAGCUUCGGCCGAGACGAACUGGACUGAUC